This 490-nucleotide ribosomal RNA is filed under the name uncultured bacterium. RNAcentral's name for it is "partial 16S ribosomal RNA". It matches the Rfam family "Bacterial small subunit ribosomal RNA", at positions 30 to 507 of the family's 1533-position model. The record is from RNAcentral.
AUUGAACGCUGGCGGCAGGCCUAACACAUGCAAGUCGAACGGUAACAGGAAGCAGCUUGCUGCUUCGCUGACGAGUGGCGGAUGGGUGAGUAAUGUCUGGGAAGCUGCCUGAUGGAGGGGGAUAACUACUGGAAACGGUAGCUAAUACCGCAUAAUGUCGCAAGACCAAAGAGGGGGACCUUCGUGCCUCUUGCCAUCGGAUGUGCCCAGAUGGGAUUAGCUUGUUGGUGGGGUAACGGCUCACCAAGGCGACGAUCCCUAGCUGGUCUGAGAGGAUGACCAGCCACACUGGAACUGAGACACGGUCCAGACUCCUACGGGAGGCAGCAGUGGGGAAUAUUGCACAAUGGGCGCAAGCCUGAUGCAGCCAUGCCGCGUGUAUGAAGAAGGCCUUCGGGUUGUAAAGUACUUUCAGCGGGGAGGAAGGGAGUAAAGUUAAUACCUUUGCUCAUUGACGUUACCCGCAGAAGAAGCACCGGCUAACUCCGUG